GACGAACGCUGGCGGCGUGCUUAACACAUGCAAGUCGAACGGAAAGGCCCUGCUUUUGUGGGGUGCUCGAGUGGCGAACGGGUGAGUAACAAGUGAGUAACCUGCCCUUGACUUUGGGAUAACUUCAGGAAACUGGGGCUAAUACCGGAUAGGAGCUCCUGCUGCAUGGUGGGGGUUGGAAAGUUUCGGCGGUUGGGGAUGGACUCUCGGCUUAUCAGCUUGUUGGUGGGGUAGUGGCUUACCAAGGCUUUGACGGGUAGACGGACCGAGGGGGUGACCGGCCACCUCGGGACUGAGCUAAGGCCCAGACUGCUAAGGGUAACAGCAGUGGCGCAUAUUGCACAAUGCCCGGAACCCUGACGCAGAACACCCGCGUGCGAGAUGACCGCGUGCGGGUUGUAAACCGCUUUAGACUGUGACGAAGAGUGUGUGACGGUAAUGGCUAAAGAAGCACCGGCUAAAUACGUG
RNAcentral lists this ribosomal RNA (468 nucleotides) under uncultured bacterium. RNAcentral's name for it is "partial 16S ribosomal RNA". It matches the Rfam family "Bacterial small subunit ribosomal RNA", at positions 28 to 507 of the family's 1533-position model. The record is from RNAcentral.